Non-coding RNA from Podarcis lilfordi (Lilford's wall lizard), 3032 nucleotides. The record is from the annotation of a GenBank genome assembly. NCBI's taxonomy places the organism in Eukaryota, Metazoa, Chordata, Lepidosauria, Squamata, Lacertidae.
CCUCAGCAGCGUGCAGCUAGGAAAUUUUAUUUUAUUUUUAAAUCCAAACUUCUAUCAUUAUCAUGUAAAUAAUGCAAUACAUUUCAAAAAAAUUAAAAAAUAUAUGGGUGGAUGGGUGCCAAUGGAAAUAUAUUUCCAUACAUACACAUGGAUAUGUAUGUACAAAAAGAAAGAAGAAAAGAACAUAUAUAAUAAAAUUCAGUAAGAAAAUCUAAUUAACACUGAUAUUGAAUUAACAUAAAAAGUGUAAAUAAAUUAAUUAACGAAGAGAUGACAAAAAUGGAGGGGCGGGGGAGUAUUUAUCUGAUCAUUGGUCUGAUCAUUGACCUGCUUGUUGAUGCCACCUUAAUGAUGUACAGUGGUACCUCGGGUUACAUACGCUUCAGGUUACAGACUCCGCUAACCCAGAAAUAGUGCUUCAGGUUAAGAACUUUGCUUCAGGAUGAGAACAGAAAUCGUGCUCUGGCGGCACGGCGGCAGCAGGAGGCCCCAUUAACUAAAGUGGUGCUUCAGGUUAAGAACAGUUUCAGGUUAAGAACGGACCUCCGGAAUGAAUUAAGUACUUAACCCGAGGUACCACUGUACAAUGUUCCCAGUAAUAUUAUAAAAUUUUAGAGUUGGAAGAGACCCCAAAGGUAAUCUAGUCCAACUUCCUGCAUUGCAGGAAUCACAUCUGACUAACGGCCAAUGUACAAUAUACAAGCAAUAUCCGUGGAAAUAAAAAUACAACCUGAAACCACUAAAACAACUAUAUAAAAAUAUACAAAAAACAAAUUAAACAUGUACCAGAAUGAACCAGGACAAAAAAAUAAUGACUCUUGAGGGUAAGCAUUAUAAAUAUGACAUGGUACAUUGUGCAAAUGUGUUCAUUUUGCAAAUUGCAGACUUUGUCACCCAAAGAGUUCUGCCCUGUAACCUACCAUUCUUUGCUUCUGGAAACUUCUUGGCACCUAAGCCUUUUAGUACAUGGCCGUGUUUAAUGUGUGUGCAUUUGUGUUGCAUGUGCGUGUUGUAAAAUGUACGUGGGGUGCGUGAUCAGGAGUUUGGGGGUUAUUUUCCUCGGCAACAUAUACAGACUCUACUGAAUGGCAAGUAGACAUCUUCCCGUUGUUAUAGCAACCAAUUAGUAUGCAUGCCUGUUUAGGAAAUAUGUGGAUUUGAAAAUUGGAGACUGGAUUUCAAAUUGGCCUUCCUUCUUGGUUUUGAAAUCAGUUUCUUGCUUCAGUUGCUCCACCAUGAUGACCAAGAGUAGCUUACUCACCACUGAGUAGACCAGAUUUUCUGUAUCUCUUACGUUAGAUCUGUUCUAGGCAUCUGCAUUACUUGAGGAAUAAGGCUCUGAGAUUCCAGUUCUCAUUCAUUGUCAUCAGGCAUCUCCCAAUGCUAUGGGGAGAUGAUAUACAGGGCUCCAGUCUCCCCAAGUACAGCAAAGGCAACUAUAGGACAGAUGGCAUUCCUGGCAGCGCUGAUUUUCAUCCUAGGCUCAAGGCCAGAUCCAUUUUAUAUUAUUUUUUUAAGGGAAGAAGCAUUGGCUCUGUGGACAUCCUUUUCGGGAAGGACUUGAGGGAAGUCAAUUAAACGAAACAACACUUCUGAAAUUGCGCACGAGACAGGCAGUGGGGUGUUGACAAAACUGCCAACAGUAAUGUAUUAAUGGCGGCCGGACCUGGAGUCUCAAGUGCAAAAUAAAGGAAAGUAUACGCAGCAACUAUAAUUAAAAUGAAUACAUGUGGUAAAUUUUGCAGGAACAAUGCCUGACUGAGAGCAGGCAGGAAUCUCUUCUCUUGCCCAUGUGGCUUUUUGUCUGAAUUGGCAAAUGCAUUAUUUCAAAGCUUCUAAAGUCUUCUGCUGUCAAUGAACUUUUCCCACACACAUUAAUGUUAAUUGCAAGGGGUUUUGGAGGGUUAUUCUUGUGGGAUAACCAGCCUCAUAUAACCAAUAUGCUUAGGCCCAAUUAAUGCAUGAAGGGGUUAAUACCAUAGCUUAGGUUUCCUGCCAGGCUUCCUGCUAUGUCACUUCCUCUUACCUUGGGAGGAAAUAGCUAAUCAAGCCUAAUGCUUCCCCUCUCAGUCUACCUGAGAAACUCAGCGAGUGAAGAGGUCCGAGCUGAUUGCUCUAGCUCAGCCACAUGACUCUCACCGGUCAAUAAUCUAGGAACUUCUGCCAUUUUGUAACAAAGCUGAGUUUUUCUGCUUGUGCACGUUUUCUGACUGAUGUAUCAAAAAGCACAUUAAUCUGAGCUUUGAAGAUUUUGUAAGUAGUCCAUUUUUUAAAAUUUACCAAAUGUGAGGUCUUUUCUUAUGCUGGGGGAAGCGGGGAACCUUGGAAAGGCCUGUUUUAAAAGUUUAACAGCCUAUAUGUCCAUGCUUUACUUUGCUGCAUUUUUUGUGACUUUAAAUCUCUGCUGGGGUUCCCAUACCAAACAGUACUAGCCCCAAACUUGGAUCUUGCCCAUCCGGGAAUUCUCUCUCUCUCUCUCUGUGUGUACACACACACACACACACACACACACACACACACACUGCAUCAACAAUUCUAGGGCACACUUAAGCUCAUUCAAGGUCUGUCAAGCCUACUUGUUACCCAUGCAAACCACAAAUGCCUCCAUUUUCUCUGUGGCUGCUCAUUGCCAAAGACAGUAAUGGAAAUGUUUUUAUGAUCAGCCUCAGAUUUGCCCAGAGGAACCCCUGACUACCUCCCAAGAAACUCCCAGGUCCUAAAAACAGGGUAGCCACCAAUGGUAUUCCAUCCACUGGUGAAAGGCAUCCAUUAAAGGAACAAUUAGAAAAGUAAUUUUUGAUUAUUCAUCUUCUGCUGCAGCUGCCCCAUGUUAUGAAUUCUGCUCGGGGGGCGGCAGCGGUUAACCCCUUAGAUAGAAUAAAUAUCAGGGGAGAGGGCUGAAGGCGAAAGAGGUGUUUUGGUUUUAUGAUAAAGAUUGUCUUCUACAAUAGACGAGUAUAGGACCAUCACUUUCUGCACUUCCUAGUCUGGUCCAGGUGUUUUGGCAAGCUCAGGGUUGGAGGACUUCAAAC